This is a small nucleolar RNA of Malania oleifera, 105 nucleotides long. Lineage: Eukaryota; Viridiplantae; Streptophyta; Magnoliopsida; Santalales; Ximeniaceae. The record is from RefSeq and is a predicted model, not a curated record.
ACUUUGUGAUGUGGGCAUUUAUGCAAAAGGUCUCUCAAGUGCUCCAAUGUCUCAAAAAUUUCCCAUUAUCUAUUUGUGAGAAACUAGUAAUUGCCUUCCUAAGCU